GUGGGGAAUAUUGGACAAUGGGGGGAACCCUGAUCCAGCCAUGCCGCGUGUGUGAAGAAGGCCUUUUGGUUGUAAGGCACUUUAAGCGAGGAGGAGGCUACCGAGAUUAAUACUCUUGGAUAGUGGACGUUACUCGCAGAAUAAGCACCGACUAACUCUGUGCCAGCAGCCGCGGUAAUACAGAGGGUGCAAGCGUUAAUCGGAUUUACUGGGCGUAAAGCGCGCGUAGGUGGCCAAUUAAGUCAAAUGUGAAAUCCCCGAGCUUAACUUGGGAAUUGCAUUCGAUACUGGUUGGCUAGAGUAUGGGUGAGGAUGGUAGCAUUCCAGGUGUAGCGGUGAAAUGCGUAGAGAUCUGGAGGAAUACCGAUGGCGAAGGCAGCCAUCUGGCCUAAUACUGACACUGAGGUGCGAAAGCAUGGGGAGCAAACAGGAUUAGAUACCCUUGUAGUCC
This 451-nucleotide ribosomal RNA is filed under the name uncultured bacterium. Its description in RNAcentral is "partial 16S ribosomal RNA". It matches the Rfam family "Bacterial small subunit ribosomal RNA", at positions 354 to 796 of the family's 1533-position model. The record is from RNAcentral.